UCGAACGAGAAAGCGGGGGCAACUCCGUGAGUAAAGUGGCGUACGGGUGAGUAACACGUAGCUAACCUACCCUCGAGUGAGGAAUAACCUGGGGAAACUCGGGCUAAUACCCCAUAACAUCCCGAGCAAUCGGGAGCAAAGGUCCGCAAGGGCCGCUUGAGGAGGGGGCUGCGGCCGAUUAGCUAGUUGGUGAGGUAACGGCCCACCAAGGCGAUGAUCGGUAGCCGGCCUGAGAGGGCGCACGGCCACACUGGCACUGAAACACGGGCCAGACUCCUACGGGAGGCAGCAGUGGGGAAUUUUGCACAAUGCCCGAAAGGGUGAUGCAGCAACGCCGCGUGAGGGAUGAAGGUCUUCGGAUCGUAAACCUCUUUCGACCGGGAAAAAUGGGCGGGUGUAGAGCCCGUCCUGAUGGUACCGGUGGAAGAAGCCCCGGCUAACUACGUG
This 447-nucleotide ribosomal RNA is filed under the name uncultured bacterium. RNAcentral's name for it is "bacterial SSU rRNA". It matches the Rfam family "Bacterial small subunit ribosomal RNA", at positions 62 to 507 of the family's 1533-position model. The record is from RNAcentral.